UAUGAGUAAACGAUAAACCGAGUGAGAAACUCGGUCGCCGUAAGCCCAAGGUUUCCCGGGCCAGGAUCAUCCUCCCGGGGUUAGUCGGGACCUAAGCCGAGGCCACAUGGCGUAGGCGAUGGAAAUCGGGUUAAUAUUCCCGAACCAGCUUGGAUGUGUUGACGUCAGCAGGGACGAAGAAAGAUAGCUCAGCCGGGCGAUGGUUCCGGUUCAAGCUCGUAGGUGGAUUCCCCAGGACCGUUCCGGACAAACAGGGAGUCGAGACACCGAGAAGCGAUGAGGGAUGGACCGCCUCGGCGGAAAGUCAAACUGAGUGAUUCUAUGCUUCCGAGAAAAGCUGCGGGCCGAGCAUUCCGGCUGUCCGUACCGCAAACCGACUCAGGUGGGCGGGAAGAGUAUUCCAAGGCGUUUGAGAGAACCGUGGUUAAGGAACUAGGCAAAUUGACACCGUAACUUCGGGAUAAGGUGUGCCUCCGAGGUAGAGCUGAACAGGCCGAGCCAGAAGAGGUCGCAGAGAAUUGGGGGUAGCGACUGUUUACCAAAAACACAGGACUGUGCGAAGUCACGAAGACGACGUAUACGGUCUGACGCCUGCCCGGUGCUGGAAGGUUAAGAGGAGAGGUUAGAGCAAUCGAAGCUUUGAAUUGAAGCCCCAGUAAACGGCGGCCGUAACUAUAACGGUCCUAAGGUAGCGAAAUUCCUUGUCGGGUAAGUUCCGACCUGCACGAAUGGCGUAACGACUUCCCCGCUGUCUCAAAUGUGGACUCAGCGAAAUUGAAUUGUCUGUGAAGAUGCAGACUUCCCGCGGUUAGACGGAAAGACCCCAUGCACCUUUACUAUAGCUUCGCACUGGCAUCAGGAUUGUGAUGUGCAGGAUAGGUGGUAGGCAUUGAAACCGGGACGCCAGUUCCGGUGGAGCCAUCCUUGAGAUACCACCCUUCGCACUCUUGAUGUCUAACCGCGGCCCGUUAUCCGGGUCCGGGACCCUGCGUGGUGGGUAGUUUGACUGGGGCGGUCGCCUCCCAAAGAGUAACGGAGGCGCGCGAUGGUGGGCUCAGAGCGGUCGGAAAUCGCUCGUUGAGUGCAAUGGCAUAAGCCUGCCUGACUGCGAGACUGACAAGUCGAGCAGAGACGAAAGUCGGUCAUAGUGAUCCGGUGGUCCCGCGUGGAAGGGCCAUCGCUCAACGGAUAAAAGGUACGCCGGGGAUAACAGGCUGAUGAUGCCCAAGAGUCCAUAUCGACGGCAUCGUUUGGCACCUCGAUGUCGGCUCAUCUCAUCCUGGGGCUGGAGCAGGUCCCAAGGGUAUGGCUGUUCGCCAUUUAAAGAGGUACGUGAGCUGGGUUUAGAACGUCGUGAGACAGUUCGGUCCCUAUCUGCCGUGGGUGUAGGAUACUUGAGAGGAGUUGCCCCUAGUACGAGAGGACCGGGGUGAACGUUCCACUGGUGGACCAGUUGUCGUGCCAACGGCAGUGCUGGGUAGCUAUGAACGGACAGGAUAAACGCUGAAGGCAUCUAAGCGUGAAGCCCCCCUCAAAACAAGGUAUCCCUUGAGAGCCGUGGAAGACCACCACGUCGAUAGGCCGGAGAUGUAAGCGCAGCAAUGCGUUCAGUUGACCGGUACUAAUGGCUCGAUUGGCUUGAUU
Molecule: ribosomal RNA, 1644 nt
Filed under: activated sludge metagenome
Description: bacterial LSU rRNA
Rfam family: Bacterial large subunit ribosomal RNA
Source: RNAcentral